Molecule: long non-coding RNA, 1026 nt
Organism: Pyrus x bretschneideri (Chinese white pear)
Lineage: Eukaryota; Viridiplantae; Streptophyta; Magnoliopsida; Rosales; Rosaceae
Exons: 5
Source: RefSeq, a predicted model, not a curated record
GGAGAUGGAGGCCAUGGAGAGAGAAAUGGUGUUGUCAUUCGGUGAGGGUUUUGGAGAUGGGAGGCCAUGUAGUCUCUGAGAUGGAGAUAGAGAGAGAGAGGGUGAGGGAGACAGCGACAGAGAAAGAGGGAGACUGAGGAGUAGGGAUCACUGCUGCUGACUACUCGGUCACUGACUCAGAUCUCCUCCUCAACACCAACACCCACAGAGUCCAGUGUCUUCUUCUCCAAGCCCAAAGAAGGCAGCUUCGCCGACAUGAUCGAUAAAGCUUUGGAGAACGAGUUUGAAGAGAAUGAUUAGAACGAAGUGGCUCUCUCCUCCCCAUACUCAACCCUCUGCUUCUUCUCUGAUUCAUGGUUGGGUGCAGCGGCAGCAUAGAGCUUUCGCCGGAGGAAGAAAGGAUUUUGAUACGAGACAUUGCUUUGCCUGCUGAAGCCAAUUUCAAAGAGGGCGAUGUCGUCUACUUGCUCACCCGAAGGUUUGCAUGGAAGAUGAGAAGACGAUCUCUGUAUCCUUAGAAACACGUAUUUCAGAAAGCUUGAUGAUUCGCCUAUGUUUCGCGAACAGGUAGUGGCACAUAUUUGAGCAGGGCUUGGAGAGGCGGACCCCAGAUGGUGUAUGCCUACACCAGCAUGACUAAGGUGGUUAACCCUGCUGGCUGGAGCGACGAUAACCACGCCGAACGUGACAAAAAUGUGGCCUACAAAGAGUACAAGUGCAUGGGUCCAGGUUCAUGUACAUAAAAUAAGAGAAAUUUGAGCAAAGAACUGACUGACAAAUAAUUCAAGCCUUUCACUAGCCUUGGAUCUAUUCAGGGUAUGGUUGCUUCCUCCUCCAUAUCCAAAAGUGUGUCUAUAUAUAUAUAUAUAUAUAUAGACUAGGUACAUGACGUCAUAACUGUGUAUUGUUCACAUGUUCGCUUAAUCACAUCUCGUUGUACGGUUUUUUAUUCCUCAAAAUCACAAUUGGUAAUAUCCUCACACAAAGAAAUGCUUCUGUUGGAAUAUUGUUUCAUCGUUCGGUUGA